This 216-nucleotide ribosomal RNA is filed under the name uncultured bacterium. Its description in RNAcentral is "partial 16S ribosomal RNA". It matches the Rfam family "Bacterial small subunit ribosomal RNA", at positions 1277 to 1500 of the family's 1533-position model. The record is from RNAcentral.
GAAAGCCUGUCUCAGUUCGGAUUGGAGUCUGCAACCCGACUCCAUGAAGCUGGAUUCGCUAGUAAUCGCGCAUCAGCCACGGCGCGGUGAAUACGUUCCCGGGCCUUGUACACACCGCCCGUCAAGCCAUGGAAGCCGGGGGUGCCUGAAGUGCGCUGCCGCAAGGAGCGCCCUAGGAUAAAACCGGUGACUGGGGCUAAGUCGUAACAAGGUAAC